GAUGAACGCUAGCGGCAGGCCUAACACAUGCAAGUCGAGGGGUAACAGAGAGAGCUUGCUCUUUGCUGACGACCGGCGCACGGGUGCGCACCGCGUAUGGAAUCUGCCCUCUACAGGGGAAUAGCCCAGGGAAACUUGGAUUAAUGCCCCGUAGUACCGUUAUAUCGCAUGAUAUUAUGGUUAAAGCCUUCGGGUGGUAGAGGAUGACCAUGCGUCCCAUUAGCUUGAUGGUAAGGUAACGGCUUACCAUGGCUACGAUGGGUAGGGGCCCUGAGAGGGGGAUCCCCCACACUGGUACUGAGACACGGACCAGACUCCUACGGGAGGCAGCAGUGAGGAAUAUUGGACAAUGGGCGGGAGCCUGAUCCAGCCAUGCCGCGUGCAGGAAGAAUGCCCUAUGGGUAGUAAACUGCUUUUAUACGGGAAGAAAAAGAGCUACGUGUAGCUUACUGACGGUACCGUAAGAAUAAGGACCGGCUAACUCCG
This 486-nucleotide ribosomal RNA is filed under the name uncultured Flavobacteriaceae bacterium. RNAcentral describes it as "bacterial SSU rRNA". It matches the Rfam family "Bacterial small subunit ribosomal RNA", at positions 28 to 505 of the family's 1533-position model. The record is from RNAcentral. Lineage: Bacteria; Pseudomonadati; Bacteroidota; Flavobacteriia; Flavobacteriales; Flavobacteriaceae.